This 10671-nucleotide long non-coding RNA is filed under the name Capsicum annuum. RNAcentral's name for it is "long non-coding RNA (CANN_LNC021204)". The record is from RNAcentral. Lineage: Eukaryota; Viridiplantae; Streptophyta; Magnoliopsida; Solanales; Solanaceae.
CAGAGAAAAAUCUCAAAAUAAUGAUAAUAAUUUUUCAAAGUAUUUGCUUUUUCAAACCAAAAGUAGAGAGAGAGAAAAAUAUCAUGUACUCACAAAAACUCAAUGUGUCAAAUUCUAUGUCCCGAUUAUCCUUUGAAAAACCCUAAAACAAAGCUUUAAAAUAGUUAACUCCAAAUAAGGAAAUACAUUAAUAAAAAUCAGAAAUCCCCCAAAUUAGGUAAUAACAUUUGUGAUAGCCUAUCAGGAGACUGAUGACUUAUCAUAAAUGUCAUCAACUCCUUCUUCAAUUUUGGCUCUUCUUGCUGAAGACAGAUGACAAGCUUGACAAUUUAUCAGCUCCGUGAUGGCUUAUCACAAAAUGUCGUCAAGGCUUUGCUUCAGUUUUCCUUGGUUGCCUUAUGCUGAUGACAUUCCUGACAUCUUUUCAGAAGCUUGACAACGUAUCACAAAAUGUUGUCACAACUUCUAUUUUAGACGAAUUCUCUAUCUACUGCUGACGACCAACUUGGUAGCUUAUCAUAGGGCUAUCGACUUAUCACAAAUGUCACCAGCCAUACUUGUCUUAAGAUUUCUUCAAAUUUCAAUUCUUUGCUUGCAUUCUUGUUGGUUCUCUAUCAUAUCAGCUUAAACUGCAAAAAUCAAACAUAAACCAACCAAAAACGACAAAAGUUGUUUAAAACUUUGCAAUUAUUCUUAGUUAAAAUCCUCAAUUGUGUUAGCAUUCGCUCAUACAUCACUUUCCAACGUAUAUGUACCCGAAUCUUAUGGUGUAUAUUUAGAAAUAAAUGUGACCUAUAUUUUCCUUAGUGUGGAAACUUCCUUGGAGAUGAAUAUUCACCAUAGGAAUCUCCUAACUCAAAAGUUAAAUUGAGCACCUUCGUAUUGAUUGAAUUUUAGUUGAUGAUUUUGCAUGGGUCAACUUCCAUCAACUGUUUCUAUUAGUAUAUAAGGAUUAACGUGGCUUAAAAUAUUUCAAAUUAAAUCCUUUGGAGUAUUCUUUCCAACACCUUUGCCUAUUUAUUUUAUGAGUCAGAGUUAAAAGUAAUGAGUGUUUGAAUUAGACACUAUCCAGGCUAGGCGAUGGUCUACACAUCGCCCAUCUUAGGUUUUGUCCAUGGGCUUAGAGCUGCAAACCUUGGGUUUGGCCAUGGGUUAGGCACCGACUACCCUUUAUUUUUGCGGUGCAAGGACUUCAUUUUUGAGUUAUUUCGAUGUCAACAAGGACUUUUAACAUUACAUAAUAAUCCAUAAAUAUAUUAACAUGAAUUUAAGUCUCCCAAAAUGAUUUAACACUAUCAAAUCCCUAAAUCAUCUUCUAAAACACUAGAGGAGAAAAACCAACCUAGGGUUUGCACAUUCAAUCCUAAAUAGUCAAUAUUUUCACGAUUUCUUCAUCAACUAAGGUACGUGGGCCUUUCCUUAAAUUCAUGGGCAUAUUGAAAUCAUUUUUAGUAUGCUUUAAAGUUAAGAAAUCAUGAAUUUAUGAAAGGUUUUUGAUCUAUAAGGAAAAGUAUGCAUUGUGAACCCUUUUGGAUAAUAUACGUUUUACCCUUGAGGCCUCUUAAUAGAAUUGAAUCAUGUUUUCAUAUGUAUAAGUGUUUUCAAUUUUGUAAAGUUAAUAGAGAGAAUACGUAACAAAUUUGUCCCUCUCUUGUUAUGAUACUUCUUGACUUUACAUGCUGUGGGUUGUGAAAUUACAUGAUUGAAAGCAUAAGAUAAGAGUUUUAAUGUUGUUUAUGAACUUGAUGUUAGUUGAAUUGAAGAGAGCUUUCUUUCCUAGAUUUUAACUAUUUUAUUUUUUUAAAUGUUCAAUGUAAUAAUUAAAAGAAUUGCUUGAAUUGUUUUGAGAAAUUGACCAUCAUGUGUUGAAAUAAUGAAAAGGGAGAAUCUUUGCAUAAUUUUGAAAUGUGUUGAAAUAAGACCUCUCUUGCUUGUUUAAAUGUUUUUGGUGGUCAAAUGAUUUGAUCGGAUUGAAAAAUCUAAAGCAUAACAUGAUAUUGCUUAGAUAUAUGACUUGCAAGUAUUGGUGUGACGAUACUAAAUCAGAUGAAUGUCAUGGUAGAUACAUCAUAGAAUAAACUAAAAACUUUUCAGAUUUUUAGAUUUUUAGAGUUCAUAAAGAUACAUGGUUUUAAUGAACUAAAAAUGGACUCUAAUAGAGUUAGAUGGCUACCCGAAGAAAGUAUGAGUUUAAAGACUCUAUGCUAGAAAUCGUGAUUUGCCGACACAAGAUUUUGGUACCUUGCUUUGUUAACUUGUAUACCUUAUAAUAUGUCAUCCCAAAGUGGGACUAUGGUUUUGAGCCCUGCUUUGUGAUCUCUGCCCUACCAUGACAUAUUGAUUUGAUUGGGGAUUAUUGUACCCUACUGUGUGAUCUUUCGUGUCUCCCGUUACUGAUACUCCAAUCCUUGCAUCAAACUAGGAUUAGGGGCUUCACCAUCGAGUCAAGGUCGGAUUCCAUAUAGCCUAUAGAAUUACAGAUUGUAGGGUGUAGCUCAGAAGAGAAACAAAGAGUAGAGUCAUGAUUCCAAGUACUGUUUUGAAUUUUAUCAAAUUAUGUCCAUGCAUUUUCAAAUUUUUAUGCUGAUAUGUUUUUAUGAAGAGCUCUUACCUAUGUUUUACAAAAAUGUAUUUUUCUUUUGGAUUGUUCUGAGUACCAGAACAUUUGUAUUGACCCCCUAUAUUUCAGAAUUUGAGAUAGUCCCUAGGUCCCGCUAAGCAGUAGACCAGUUUAUCAAUCAUUUGAAGUUGGUGAGACUACCUUGUUUUCGAAGGGUCUUGGUCCAUGUUAUAUUUUCAUUUGGUCUUAGAUUAUGGUCCAGCGGGGGCCUUGAACAAUGUUUCAGACAGAUGUUGUUUUUAUAUUGUUAGAGAUUUCACAGGCUGGUGUCAUGUGUUUUCUUAUUUUCUUAUUGUUCAGUUGAAGUAAGAGAAUGACCAUGUUUUUGUAUUGCUAUGUUUUUUCAUUUUUUCGUAUUUCCUUAUAGUAUCUGAAUAGCGUAUAUGAUUUCCAGUUAGAGAAGGGCUCCUGUGCCACCAUGGUUCGGGAUGCUCAUUGCGUCCAGGGCCUCAGCUCGGGUCAUGACAAAGAACAUACCCCACCAUGGCUAAAGUAAAUGACAAGCCCCACAAGGGCUAAAGUAAAUAACAAGUAAGUAAAUAGCAAGCCCCGCGAGGGUUAAAGCAAGUGACAAGCCCCAAGAGGGCUAAAGUAAAGUUCAAGCCCCAUGUUGCCCAAAGUAAAGUAUCAGUAAGGAGGAGCAUACCUUUACAUCUUAUCAUUCAUCAUCAAGGACAACUUAUCCAUAAAUAUAUGAAUAUAUAUAGCAUGAAUAUUACAAAGCAUAAACUGGUUCAACAUGGUUAGUAGCAUAGCUUCUCAUGUAGUUAAUAAAUAAAUCUUUUAGAUCCCUUAGUAUCAUGGCUCAUAAUAUUAGCAAUAAGAAAGCUUUCUAAUAUAAUCAAUCGUUAGGUUACUACACAAAGAAUAACAUGAUUCCAACAUAAUCUAUAAAGUAUCUUUAUUCAUAGUGAAUAAGCAUGGCUUCUAACACCAUUAUCAUCAUCAUUUCCAAUAUAGACAACAAAGAAGAUUUUCAAUAUGAUUUACUAGAAUAAUUAUUAAGCAUAAUCAUAGUUGGGCAAUAGUAUAGAUAACGGCCCUGACUCUAGCCUAAAUGAUGGCUUAAUCAAGAGUAUAGACAAGGAAUCAUCAUUACAUAAUCCAUAAUUUAGUUAUUCCACCUUGGCAUAACCAUAAGCCAUAUCAUGAACUUGGCCCAUUAGUAGCAUAUUCAUUGGCCUACUAUUGGCCUAAAUAUAUUUCGUCAUUAGAAGGAACAAUGGAUAAAGCAUUACAUAAUCCAUAAUUUAUUCAUAGCUUGGUCAAUAAUAUCAUUUAUGACUUAGGCCAUAUUAUAGACAAGGGCUCAUGUAAUAGCAUGUUCAUUAGCCCAACCAAUAGAUAAUUGUAAUAACCUAAUUAAUAGCUUGACAUAAGUUUUAGCCAACAAGGAAUACAAAGGCAUAAUUACUUGGGAAUUCUCAAUUCUAUUCUACAUAACCAACAAGUACCAAGAAUCAUCAAUAUUCCCUCAAAAGGGCACUCUUUAGUCAACAGGUGUAAGUGUUCAAGGGAACUAAUCACAAGUCUUGUCAUAAGGUGGAUCAAUAAGCCCACAAGUAAAUCCCUAAAUCCAUUAUAAGUCAAUUUCUACCCCUAACUAGGCUAAGGAAUAUAAAUCAACUCUUAAAUAUAUAGCAAGCCGCCAUAAGACCUAAGGUAGAUAUUCUACUAAGUCCAAUGGAAUCAAGGCAACCUUCUCUAGUAUAAGUAACUAAGGAAAAUUUUCUCUACAUAUGAUUAAUUUGAACAUUAUAUCUAAGGUUGAGUAUUUUAAGGCUUACUCAUGGAAAACAUGAGUUAUGAAGUCUAUUCCACCAAAUAUAAUUGAAGCCAAGUCAAGUUUUCCAGCUUGCAAGAUUCAUAUAGCUUAAUUGUCCAACUAACCCAAGUUUUACAUUUUAUCAAUUCAAUAUUUAAAAGCCAUCUCAAUCUAACAGGAAAUUAAAAUUAUAUCAUAACAUAGCUCAAUCCAACAAGGAGUAAGGCUAACCUACCUCAAAUCCAAAGAAAGCCCACGAACCGCUAAACCUUUUCUUUUCCUUUUUCCUUUUCGAGAAGCUUCUUCAUGGUUCCAAGCUAUCAAAAAUACAAUCUACACAUCAUUAUGAGAAUUUUGAUACCAGUAUAGCACCAUUGUGAUUCAGGUUUAAAAAUGAUACCAAAACCCCCCAAGUUGGUCCCACAUAAGUAAAACACAUUUUUGAGAUCAGACCAAUGUUCAUACACCAAUAGGGAAUCAUAACCAUCAAGAAUUAGAUGAAAACAAGGCAUAUUUGGGGAAAAAAUCAAGCCCUCAAGCAAUUUUGCAUUUUGGUCAAAAUUCAAGAAAUUAAAGCUUGAAAAAGGUAGGAUUCAUACCUUUAAUCUUUUAUUAAUCACAAAAUAUAUGUAAAUCAAGCUUUUAACUCACACCCAAGAAUCAAUUUAAAGUUAAUCUAUCAUUAUAGGGCUUAUAGGGCUCAAAAGGGAGUGAAAAUUGUCAAUAUCAUGACCAAGUAUGCUAUUCAUAGUACCUUGGUCGCGGUUAAAUAGGGUCGGCGAGGUCAAAACUUGUUUUUAGCCUCCCAGACUCGUUUAGACUCCUUUUUUUUGCAAAAGAACUAUGUAACACUACUAAAUUCAACAUUUUAGAUGCCUUGGUGAACUCAUAUUUUCUAUCCAAGACCAUUUAGGCCAAUUGUGGGCCCUACACCAAUGUCUACCGAUUUUUUCACUUUUCGACAAAUUGGUUGAAAUGAACUUGGGUGUCUUCGAACUCGAACCAAGGGUUUUUAUAUCCUACAAUCGAUAUUACAAAGCUCCUAAUCCAGUAAAAAUUUGCAUCAGAGGUUGUUUAUCUAAAGGUUUUUCUUGGCGGCCAUUUGGAACAAGCGAAGACUUCUAAACGGGGAAUCGGUCCUAAAGUUGAACGAACGAUACCAAACUAUCAGUUCCAGGAAGUCAUAAAUGACUUGAUACAGCCAUGAAAAAUAUUUAGAGGAAAAAUUAAGCAGACAAUAUGGAAAAUGACCUGAAGAGUCAUUACACCGUUGCAUUGAGUUGUUGCUACUAAUUAAUUACAAAUUCAAAGAACCAAAAGAAAAGAAAAAAGGUUAAAAACGCAGAAUAUAAAAAAAAUAUUAUUAAAUAGUAAAAUGAACAAAAUCCACGUAAAAAAAUAACAUUCAUAGUACCUGGAAAAAAGAGUAACCUGUCACGAGCCGAACAAGGGCCUAGCAGUGACGGACAUCGCGAAGGUUCGGACGUCCUACUCUAUCUGGUACUCAUGCAAAAUAUUCAUAUAAUAAAAGAAAAUAUGGAAUUACAAUCUAAUACGGAAACAUGGUCAUACUAUGGAUUAAGUUUAACAAUAAGGAAUGAAAUCCAAAAAUCACUAACAACAUCUGGAAAAGUUUGCGAAAUCUCUACUACAUGAAAAUCUGACAAAUAUCUUAGGAAAUGCAACUUUUUACUUUCCAGCUUAGCACACUUUUCGGAUACUCACUUAACUAUACUAUUCCCCUAAAUACGACGAUCAAGCUAUUCAACUUAAAAUUCUCAUAUGGGCAUUGAUAAAUCUUUCUACUAAUGUCUAAAGUGACUUAAAUCCUCUCACCGCGAUGAAGCCUAACUCCAAACCACAAAAUACAACAUGCCGCACAGUGAUACUAGUCUAAACCACAUGAUUAAGUCUUCUAUAUCUUUUUAGAUAUCACACCCUAAACAUAAUGUGCCUUACCACUUCAAUGAUAACUAACUCUGAACACUUACCAUGGAUUUAUGAGCACAUAUUACGUUCCUCCACUUAAAUCCUAAUAUUUUAUUCAAGCCUAUCUUUAUAACCACCUAUGAACUUCAAGACAAACACCCGUAAAUACAUACUUCAUAUAGUCUCUAAACCAUUGUCAAUAUAACUCCAACGCGCUAUCCCAACAAUAUACACACAAAAAUUUCCACUAGCCAUCACAUGUAUCAAACACUUGGCCCCAAAUCUUACUCCAUAAUUGCUACCUUAACUCAAAUAAGCAUACAACCAUCUUUUAUCAACAAGAAAUGUUUACUCUUUUCCAUCUUGACAACUAUUCAUCAUCACUAUAUCGAUAUACGGGAAAAAUGUCACUAAAAAAUUAGAAUAUCGAAAUUCAGAACAUGAGGAGAGUACUAGUCAUAACUUGAUACCCUACUGAGGUGUAAGGAAUAGAGCACUCACGACAUGGACUCAUUAAAGAGAUCUAAUCUGAAGGUGUUCCUGAUAUAAAUCUUAAUUUUCACUGAUCGUUAAGUGUAUCACAUGUGUACAAGAGUUAGGAACUGUAUGACCUGAAUUUUUUUGGAAUUCAUAACUUACGAAAAGUGAUUCUGACUGUUGAAUGAACUAGAAUUCCUCAUUUAGGAACUGGAAGAGCACAUGUUUUUCUAUCAUAUGCAUGAACAUGAACCAUGAUCAUGGAACUGAAACAAAAGGCAUGGGUAGGUAUUAGGAUACCUGAAAAAUAUUGAGAUGAGAAUGGGUUGAGCCUUACCCUCAUUUUAUGGUGUUCCAUAUCAUACAGGAAUCACUACUAGAAUCUGAGAGUCUGGCUUGGUUACAUGUUCUAUCAUCUCCCCCUUAGCUUUAAGCCAUCAUCUUAAGUUUGAGAGAUCCCUUACUAGACUCUAAACUGAACUACACUUACUGCACUCUGUGGUCUAGAAUAUGACAAUACACGUAAUUAAUAGAACUUAAUCCGAAUGACUACAAUUGGAAGUGGAAAAGCCAAUACUAAUACCAACUUCUGAGACGCACUCUAUCAUUCUAUAGCCCCAAUAGCCAUCCCAUCAUAUUGGAACACUUACUUACUUCGGAUUUUCAUAAGUAUCCCCAUAGUCAGAGUGCACACCCUCUAACGUUUCAACCCUUAUCUCUAUGAGCUCAACCUUCAAGAAUUCAAUCUUAGCUUCUAACACUUAACAUGGAUAUCACCAAGCCUUUGAUGAAAUAUACUACUUCCGUCAUAGCACACCAAUAUCGUGACUCUAAACUUAUAUCUCCCUACCACGAGAAUCAAGAUCAUAUCAAAAGGCGCAACAUUAUCAAUCAAAAUUCAUCAACUUGGCUAUUUAGAACACCAUAUACUAUCUAACUAGUCUUUCUUCACCUAGUAACUCAACAGUACCACAAGCCACACAUAACAUGUAAUAGUCGAAGAAAAAUACAGCAACCUCAUAUCACCUUGAAUAAUAACUCCUUCUCUAUGUUCUACUAAACUAACACACAAGGACGUAUCACUUCAUUACCAACUCAAUCUCAUGCGAAAAGAUUCAGCUAUGCAUAUAUUCAACCAACACAAAAAUAAUAAGUUGAACAACAAGUUGUUAGUGAAUCGAAAUAGUCCUCACAUAGCUUUACUACACUUUGAUUUUGUGUUUUGAACUAGAAAAUGUGAUGAAUGACAAGGAAACUAUGCUAGUGAAUCGAAAGAGCCCCACACGGCUUCACUAGGCUUUCGGUUUCAACAACACAAUGAUAACAAGAUUACAAGAGAUAGAAAGUUGACAUAUAAUAUUCAAUGAUUUAAGAAUACACAUCUUACCCUGUAUAAAUAAAAAUCUGAGUCAAACACUUCCCCCCACAAACUACCAUACAAUCCACACAUGCUACUAGCUACCACAUUAGUCUAUCACUAAAAAAGGAUAAAUCAUUCUCAAACAUCAGUUAUUCAACUAAAUUAUUUAUUCGCACAAAAGUCACCCUCACUCAGACUUCUAACUUUGUGACUUCAUCUCACCAGCUUCUUGGUCUAAUCUCACUAUCAAUAGAUCAUGACACCGCUUAUACUACUACUUGGGUGGAAAUACAGUUCCAACAUUCUGCUACACCUCAUUCCCUCUUAAGCAUGACAUCUGUAACAUAAAUUUUUGAAAAGGACUUAAUACCCGUAAUACUGCAAGCUGAAAAACACGAUUUCAUCAGAACCAAAAUUCACACUAGAAUUAAUCCACUUUGAAGAACUAACGAACUCUUCUCAAGUCCUUGCACAAUUUUUAAAAUCUUAUCUGACAUCAAUCAAAAUGGACCAUACCAUUUAAAUUCUAAACUUUGUCACUUGAUUCACCGUAAUAAUGAGACAUAUCGGAGCCCAUCAAAGUAAGAAAAGAAUUAGGAUAACUUUACUUUCGUAUGGAAAGCAACAUAGCACGAAUUAGAGUAUAAAAGAGGAAUAUUCUGACUCCACAGCAUGAACUAAAACAUGAAGAAAGGGAAACAUUCCAAAAUGCCUAAUAGCCUCCUGCUUAUAAGUGUGGCGCACUACAUACUUAUAAUCAAGACUCUACCUGAUGCUAUUUCACAGACACCCUGGGACCUUGAACCAUGCUUUGAUACCAAGUUUGUCAUGAUUUGAACUAGGGACUGGCCGUGAUGGACAUCCCGAACCAUGAAGGCUCGGACGUCCUACUCUAUCUGGUCGUUAUGCAUAAUAUUCAUAUAAUAAGAAAAAUAUGGAAUUAUGAUCUAAUACGAAAACAUGGUCAUACUCUAGAUUAAGUUUAACAAUAAGGAAUGAAAUCUAAAAAUCGCUAACAACAUCUAGAAAAGUCUAUGAAAUCUCUACUACGUAAAAAUAUGAUAGCUGUCUAAAAAUGGGGAUAAGGUCCCCAGUAGACAAAAACUAUAAUAGACGACAUAAUCAGAAAGGACAGGCCUUUUGGAAUUGAGAAGGCUCACCACUAGACAAUCAUUGUUGUCUGAAAACUCUAUGACCUAGCAGGACCUCUAAACUGAGUUUUAGACCUUCAAAGUAGGGGAGGUCAAUACAAAUGUACUGGUAUAUAGAGAAAAUCCAAAAUAAUUAUUUACAUUCAAUAUAUGUGAGAGAAAUUUAAAGCAUUUCAUAAACAUAUCAUAUAGUAAGAAAUCACAUGGGCAUUUUAAAAGACUUUGUGAAAAAUUUUAAAAUCUGUGACACUAUUUGUCUUACUUCUGCGCAAGGUGGUCUACCCUACAGUCUAUAAUCCCAUGAGCUAUAUAGGAUCUGCCAUUAACUCGGCAGCCAAGCCCCCAAACCAAGUGUACCACAAGGGUCAGAGUCUUUGAAUGUACUAAGCCACGCAGCCGUUGCCAACGUACAAUAAUAAUCUACCCGUAUCGGCAAAUACAGUUUCAGUCUAAGAGUUACUUGAACUCAUGCCUUCUUCGGGUAACCACUUAACCCUCUUUAUGCCCAUUUUUAGUUCUUUAAACAUACAUGCUCUGAAAACAUACUCAGAAAUCUUUAACUCAGUCGUGGCAUAUAUACAUAUAUGGUAUCGUUAUACCAUUGACUAACAAGUCACAUAUCUGAGCCACUAAUAGAAUAUUAUAUUCUCUAUUUUCAAAAUAUAUGUUUAAGACCACCAUAUCAAUAAAUCAUUUCAAGAACUCUUUCUUUAAAUACUCAAGUGCACACAUGUAUGCAAAUCUCUUUGUCAAUAUUUCAAUGAUACAAGGUGGUCAUGUCAAAAUCCUUAAUCUCCUGCAAAUCUUUCUCUUUUAAACAAAACAUAUUUAUAUCAGUAAACUCCAUCUCAUCAAUCUCCAAAUCAUGCUCAAAAUACUAUGGUAUUGAGUAAAAUAUUUUCAAGAAAAAAAUCAUGCAUUUCAAAUCAUUCUCAUCCAUUUCAUAAACUCUAAACCACCAAAGAGAGGGAUUUCAAUGAUAAUGCUCUCAAUAAAAUUUUCAAUAUCAUACAUAUAUAUAUAGAUGUAAAUCUAUUUAGGGGGAAAGGCCUAAAGACCAAAUAACAAUACAAUUAAACAUUCAUCAAGCAUAAUAAAGUCAUGUAUUCCAAAAACCUUUUCUAAAUUCAUUCUUGAUAGAUCUUUAAAUCAUACUUGAGUAUUUCAACAAGACCAAGUAGUUUUAGGAGAAACCCUACGUACCUUAAAUUAUAAGAUCUAAAAGAUGGAACCUAGAUCUUAAUACAUGAAACACGGAUCUUAAUUUGUUUCUUGGAGAUAUUGAACUUAAGGCUUGAUUUUCUUGAAUUUCUUGUUCUUGGAGAAAACGCUAAUUGAUCUUAUUUUGAGAGUGAAGAGGAAGUUUUUG